Non-coding RNA from Sorex fumeus (smoky shrew), 384 nucleotides. Lineage: Eukaryota; Metazoa; Chordata; Mammalia; Eulipotyphla; Soricidae. The record is from the annotation of a RefSeq genome assembly.
AUGGCCUGGACAGUUCUCCUGCUCACGCUCCUCUUUCACUGCACAGGGUCCCUCUCCCAGACUGUGCUGACUCAGGAGCCCUCAGUCUCAGCAUCUCCUGGAACAACAGUCAAACUCACCUGCACCCUGAAAAGUGGUAUCAGUGUUGGCAGUUAUAGAAUAAACUGGUAUCAACAGAAGACUGGGAACUUUCCCAGGUUUCUCCUUAGUUACUACACAAGUACAGAGUUGGGAUCUGGAGUUUCCAAACGCUACUCUGGAUCCAAAGACACCUCAGGCAAUGCGGGACUGCUGCACAUCUCUGGGCUGCAGACUGAGGAUGAGGCUGACUAUUACUGUAUGACUUGGUACAGUAAUGCUUAUCACAGUAAUAGAGGCAGAUGA